This 74-nucleotide transfer RNA is filed under the name Patescibacteria group bacterium. RNAcentral's name for it is "tRNA-Ile". It matches the Rfam family "tRNA". Rfam says of the family: Transfer RNA (tRNA) molecules are approximately 80 nucleotides in length. Their secondary structure includes four short double-helical elements and three loops (D, anti-codon, and T loops). The record is from RNAcentral.
GGGCCUAUAGCUCAGUUGGUUAGAGCAGCGGGCUCAUAACCUGUUGGUCGGUGGUUCAAGUCCACCUAGGCCCA